GACGAACGCUGGCGGCGUGCUUAACACAUGCAAGUCGAACGGUAAGGCCCUUCGGGGUACACGAGUGGCGAACGGGUGAGUAACACGUGGGUGAUCUGCCCUGCACUUCGGGAUAAGCCUGGGAAACUGGGUCUAAUACCGGGUAGGACCACUGCCUGCAUGGGUGGUGGUGGAAAGCUUUUGCGGUGUGGGAUGGGCCCGCGGCCUAGCAGCUUGUUGGUGGGGUGAUGGCCUCCCAAGGCGACGACGGGUAGCCGGCCUGAGAGGGUGACCGGCCACACUGGGACUGAGAUGAUGCCCAGACUCCUACGGGAGGCAGCAGUGGGGAAUAUUGCACAAUGGGCGCAAGCCUGAUGCAGCGACGCCGCGUGAGGGAUGACGGCCUUCGGGUUGUAAACCUCUUUCAGCACCGACGAAGCGCAAGUGACGGUAGGUGCAGAAGAAGGACCGGCCAACUACGUGCCAGCCGCCGCGGUAA
Molecule: ribosomal RNA, 478 nt
Filed under: uncultured bacterium
Lineage: Bacteria
Description: partial 16S ribosomal RNA
Rfam family: Bacterial small subunit ribosomal RNA
Source: RNAcentral